CACAUGCGCAGAGAGCGCUCCCCGCCAUCCCGGGUUUGGGUCGCUCGGGAAAACGGGAAUCGUUCUCCUUUCCCAAAAAACCCUCAAGAAUUAAAUUAGGAACUUUGUGAUCCUCCCAUCGCAGCCAGCACCGGCCAAAAUUAACCCCAGCAAGCCUCAAUUAAAGCCAAAGGGAGCUGGAAGAUUUGACAUCUGGGAUUGUAAAUUUAUGGCCCUUCAAGGACUCUGGAAGAACAAGAAGAUGCAGAAAGGAUUAAAGGUUGGAAAGUUGGAAAGUCUGAGAAAAAGAUGAUUAAAGGGCUAAAGAAUGUGGGCCAGCUGGAAUUUGCAGAGGGAAUGCUGCCUGGAGCGUGCUACCAGACCAUAAUUGAGUGAGGAUUUUUUUUUUUGUGAGCUUCAAGCAGCUCUUGGUUUCUGCUGCCCAACAAAAAUCCUGGGAACUACGCUGCUUUUGGGAUAUUUGGGGAGAAAUACAACAGGAAAGGUUAAAUGGAUGGCAGAAAUGAGACAGGACGGAGCAGCUCU
RNAcentral lists this long non-coding RNA (525 nucleotides) under Cyanistes caeruleus (blue tit). RNAcentral describes it as "lncRNA (ENSCCEG00000006412.1)". The record is from RNAcentral. Lineage: Eukaryota; Metazoa; Chordata; Aves; Passeriformes; Paridae.